Long non-coding RNA from Pollicipes pollicipes, 282 nucleotides. RefSeq lists it as uncharacterized. NCBI's taxonomy places the organism in Eukaryota, Metazoa, Arthropoda, Thecostraca, Pollicipedomorpha, Pollicipedidae. The transcript has 3 exons. The record is from RefSeq and is a predicted model, not a curated record.
AGUCAGGAUGGGAGCCUAUUCCACUGAUCCUACAGCUGUCUCUUCCUCAUAUCCCCAGGGCCGUUGGCCGCUCAACAUAAAAUGAAGAUCCCGAACGACGAAUGGUCCUCGACGACAGAGAGCACCACCACCACCGCCACCACUCGCCGGCCACUGGACAUCAAGGAAGCCGCCCGUGCUGAGCGGGAGCCUGCCCAGGGAUAAUCGUGGAUCACCCAACAAGGCCACGGCCUCGACUGCAGCCCACCGGCAUACCGAGCUGGCCCGUCCACCACCGCUGGA